Molecule: transfer RNA, 70 nt
Filed under: Furipterus horrens
Lineage: Eukaryota; Metazoa; Chordata; Mammalia; Chiroptera; Furipteridae
Description: tRNA-Phe
Rfam family: tRNA
About the family: Transfer RNA (tRNA) molecules are approximately 80 nucleotides in length. Their secondary structure includes four short double-helical elements and three loops (D, anti-codon, and T loops). Further hydrogen bonds mediate the characteristic L-shaped molecular structure. tRNAs have two regions of fundamental functional importance: the anti-codon, which is responsible for specific mRNA codon recognition, and the 3' end, to which the tRNAs corresponding amino acid is attached (by aminoacyl-tRNA synthetases). tRNAs cope with the degeneracy of the genetic code in two manners: having more than one tRNA (with a specific anti-codon) for a particular amino acid; and 'wobble' base-pairing, i.e. permitting non-standard base-pairing at the 3rd anti-codon position.
Source: RNAcentral
GUUAAUGUAGCUUAAACAAACAAAGCGAAGCACUGAAAAUGCUUAGAUGAGUUACUAAACUCCAUAAACA